Molecule: ribosomal RNA, 719 nt
Filed under: uncultured bacterium
Lineage: Bacteria
Description: bacterial SSU rRNA
Rfam family: Bacterial small subunit ribosomal RNA
Source: RNAcentral
GGAUAAUUUCUGGAAACGGAAACUAAAACCGGAUAGGUAAUAGAGAAGCAUUUCUGUAUUAUUAAAGAAGCCUCAAAGCUUUGAACAUGGAUGGACCUGCGGUGCAUUAGCUAGUUGGUAAGGUAACGGCCUACCAAGGCGACGAUGCAUAGCCGACCUGAGAGGGCGAACGGCCACAUUGGGACUGAGACACGGCCCAAACUCCUACGGGAGGCAGCAGUAGGGAAUUUUCGUCAAUGGGGGGAACCCUGAACGAGCAAUGCCGCGUGAGUGAAGACGGUCUUCGGAUUGUAAAGCUCUGUUGUGAGAGAGAAAGGAUAUAUAUAGGAAAUGAUAUGUAUUUGAUGGUAUCUCACCAGAAAGUCACGGCUAACUACGUGCCAGCAGCCGCGGUAAUACGUAGGUGGCGAGCGUUAUCCGGAAUGAUUGGGCGUAAAGGGUACGUAGGCGGCAUGAUAAGUCUGGAGUGAAAGGCUACAGCUCAACUGUAGUAUGCUCUGGAAACUGUCAAGCUAGAGUGCAGAAGAGGGCAAUGGAACUCCAUGUGUAGCGGUAAAAUGCGUAGAUAUAUGGAAGAACACCGGUGGCGAAGGCGGUUGCCUGGUCUGAAACUGACGCUGAAGUACGAAAGCGUGGGGAGCAAAUAGGAUUAGAUACCCUAGUAGUCCACGCCGUAAACGAUGAGAACUAGGUGUUGGGGGAAUAACUCAGUGCCGCAG